Molecule: long non-coding RNA, 1036 nt
Organism: Alligator mississippiensis (American alligator)
Lineage: Eukaryota; Metazoa; Chordata; Crocodylia; Alligatoridae
Exons: 3
Source: RefSeq, a predicted model, not a curated record
UAUGUCUGUGACAAUAGGAUAGUGAGAGCAAAGGGAAAAAAAAGAUGAGGUUUUAAUCUUCUAAGAGAAGCUCACAGAGAAAAAACUAACACCAGUUGGUGAGAACUUAACAUACUUCCAAAGAUGAUAAAAGAUCCUGGCCAAAUGAAAAACAGCUGAGAUCCAGAAAGGGCUGCUGAUUAAAGACACUGCAGAGAAGCAUGCCAAAAAGGCAAUAAAUAAAUGCAUUAAAGUGGAAAGGUGAUGCUCUGAGCAUUGAAAUUUCUUCAGAGGUCAGAGAAGGCUACCCUCAGAUAUAAAAGAAUCCUCAGGCUCUGGGAAGUUACAUGACCAACAAAGAGAUAAGAAGUGAGGUGCAGAAAGGUGAGAAGUCAGGAACAGGAAGUUAUGGGAUUGCUGCUGGCCAAUUUCACGUGCUGGCAGCUUGGAGGGCUUGGAUGUUAUAAGAUACCAUCUCUGGUCAGAAAAGUUGUACCAUGUGCCAGAGCUCACGUAACUGUGAAGUUCAAAGAAGCUCCUCAAGAGACUUGUCCAUUUUUACAGAGGAAGAAACUGAGGCUCUAGGAGGUGGCCUGGCUGUCCCAAAACUACACAGCAAGUCGGCGGCAGCAGUACAUAUGGAACCCAGGGACUGGAUUCCCAGUUCUCUGUAUCAGCCUCAAUAUAUUCCUUCCUAAUUUUAUCUCUGCAUUGAUUUCUUUCUCCCCGGAUCUCUUUCCUUUCUCACUGCCUCUGUAAACCACCUUCGUACAAUCAACUAAUCUCUUCUGCAGGACUUUCUCUCCCAAGAUUUCUUUGUAUCCCUCUGAUUUUUUUCUUCUUUAUGGUUGUCCCUAGGAGUAGAACUCAUUGGGUGUAUCUACAUGUGCAAUUGGCACGUAGCAAUAAACUCUGGUACAGUUCGUGCCGGGGUUUAUUGCUCCCAUAUCCAGUGUUUACUUGUGUGCCUGGGACCACAGCAUGUUGAGCUGGGCUAGAUUAGCUGCCGCUGGCAGGGAUUCUGGGGGGUCAGCCAGGGGCUGCUUUGCCCUGGCUC